RNAcentral lists this ribosomal RNA (1313 nucleotides) under Escherichia coli. Its description in RNAcentral is "partial 23S ribosomal RNA". It matches the Rfam family "Bacterial large subunit ribosomal RNA", at positions 418 to 1735 of the family's 2925-position model. The record is from RNAcentral. Lineage: Bacteria; Pseudomonadati; Pseudomonadota; Gammaproteobacteria; Enterobacterales; Enterobacteriaceae.
CGGGACACGUGGUAUCCUGUCUGAAUAUGGGGGGACCAUCCUCCAAGGCUAAAUACUCCUGACUGACCGAUAGUGAACCAGUACCGUGAGGGAAAGGCGAAAAGAACCCCGGCGAGGGGAGUGAAAAAGAACCUGAAACCGUGUACGUACAAGCAGUGGGAGCCUCUUUAUGGGGUGACUGCGUACCUUUUGUAUAAUGGGUCAGCGACUUAUAUUCUGUAGCAAGGUUAACCGAAUAGGGGAGCCGAAGGGAAACCGAGUCUUAACUGGGCGUUAAGUUGCAGGGUAUAGACCCGAAACCCGGUGAUCUAGCCAUGGGCAGGUUGAAGGUUGGGUAACACUAACUGGAGGACCGAACCGACUAAUGUUGAAAAAUUAGCGGAUGACUUGUGGCUGGGGGUGAAAGGCCAAUCAAACCGGGAGAUAGCUGGUUCUCCCCGAAAGCUAUUUAGGUAGCGCCUCGUGAAUUCAUCUCCGGGGGUAGAGCACUGUUUCGGCAAGGGGGUCAUCCCGACUUACCAACCCGAUGCAAACUGCGAAUACCGGAGAAUGUUAUCACGGGAGACACACGGCGGGUGCUAACGUCCGUCGUGAAGAGGGAAACAACCCAGACCGCCAGCUAAGGUCCCAAAGUCAUGGUUAAGUGGGAAACGAUGUGGGAAGGCCCAGACAGCCAGGAUGUUGGCUUAGAAGCAGCCAUCAUUUAAAGAAAGCGUAAUAGCUCACUGGUCGAGUCGGCCUGCGCGGAAGAUGUAACGGGGCUAAACCAUGCACCGAAGCUGCGGCAGCGACACUAUGUGUUGUUGGGUAGGGGAGCGUUCUGUAAGCCUGCGAAGGUGUGCUGUGAGGCAUGCUGGAGGUAUCAGAAGUGCGAAUGCUGACAUAAGUAACGAUAAAGCGGGUGAAAAGCCCGCUCGCCGGAAGACCAAGGGUUCCUGUCCAACGUUAAUCGGGGCAGGGUGAGUCGACCCCUAAGGCGAGGCCGAAAGGCGUAGUCGAUGGGAAACAGGUUAAUAUUCCUGUACUUGGUGUUACUGCGAAGGGGGGACGGAGAAGGCUAUGUUGGCCGGGCGACGGUUGUCCCGGUUUAAGCGUGUAGGCUGGUUUUCCAGGCAAAUCCGGAAAAUCAAGGCUGAGGCGUGAUGACGAGGCACUACGGUGCUGAAGCAACAAAUGCCCUGCUUCCAGGAAAAGCCUCUAAGCAUCAGGUAACAUCAAAUCGUACCCCAAACCGACACAGGUGGUCAGGUAGAGAAUACCAAGGCGCUUGAGAGAACUCGGGUGAAGGAACUAGGCAAAAUGGUGCCGUAACU